This 460-nucleotide ribosomal RNA is filed under the name uncultured bacterium. RNAcentral's name for it is "partial 16S ribosomal RNA". It matches the Rfam family "Bacterial small subunit ribosomal RNA", at positions 338 to 795 of the family's 1533-position model. The record is from RNAcentral.
CCUACGGGUGGCAGCAGUGAGGAAUAUUGGUCAAUGGACGAGAGUCUGAACCAGCCAAGCAGCGUGAAGGAUGACUGUCCUAUGGGUUGUAAACUUCUUUUAUAUGGGAACAAAAUGGUCCACGUGUGGGAUUUUGCAUGUACCAUAAGAAUAAGCAUCGGCUAACUCCGUGCCAGCAGCCGCGGUAAUACGGAGGAUCCGAGCGUUAUCCGGAUUUAUUGGGUAUAAAGGGAGCGCAGGCGGAUUGUUAAGUCAGUUGUGAAAGUUUGCGGCUCAACCGUAGGAUUGCAGUUGAAACUGGCAGUCUUGAGUGCAGUAGAGGUAGGCGGAAUUCGUGGUGUAGCGGUGAAAUGCUUAGAUAUCACGAAGAACUCCGAUUGCGAAGGCAGCACACUGGACUGCAACUGACGCUGAGGCUCGAAAGUGUGGGUAUCAAACAGGAUUAGAUACCCGAGUAGUC